RNAcentral lists this ribosomal RNA (429 nucleotides) under Chloroflexota bacterium. RNAcentral's name for it is "Chloroflexi bacterium partial 16S ribosomal RNA". It matches the Rfam family "Bacterial small subunit ribosomal RNA", at positions 355 to 776 of the family's 1533-position model. Lineage: Bacteria; Bacillati; Chloroflexota. The record is from RNAcentral.
UGGGGAAUAUUGCACAAUGGGCGCAAGCCUGAUGCAGCCAUGCCGCGUGUAUGAAGAAGGCCUUCGGGUUGUAAAGUACUUUCAGUCGGGAGGAAGGUGGUAAGGUUAAUAACCUUAUCAAUUGACGUUACCGACAGAAGAAGCACCGGCUAACUCCGUGCCAGCAGCCGCGGUAAUACGGAGGGUGCAAGCGUUAAUCGGAAUUACUGGGCGUAAAGCGCACGCAGGCGGUUGAUUGAGUCAGAUGUGAAAUCCCCGGGCUUAACCCGGGAAUUGCAUCUGAUACUGGUCAGCUAGAGUCUUGUAGAGGGGGGUAGAAUUCCAUGUGUAGCGGUGAAAUGCGUAGAGAUGUGGAGGAAUACCGGUGGCGAAGGCGGCCCCCUGGGCAAAGACUGACGCUCAGGUGCGAAAGCGUGGGGAGCAAACAGG